RNAcentral lists this ribosomal RNA (253 nucleotides) under uncultured bacterium. RNAcentral's name for it is "partial 16S ribosomal RNA". It matches the Rfam family "Bacterial small subunit ribosomal RNA", at positions 524 to 776 of the family's 1533-position model. The record is from RNAcentral.
UACAGAGGGUGCAAGCGUUGUUCGGAAUCACUGGGCGUAAAGGGCGCGUAGGCGGGAUGGCAAGUCGGUCGUGAAAUCCCUCGGCUCAACCGAGGAACGUCGAUCGAUACUGCUGUUCUUGAGGAUUGCAGAGGAGACUGGAAUUCCCGGUGUAGCGGUGAAAUGUGUAGAGAUCGGGAGGAACACCGGUGGCGAAGGCGGGUCUCUGGGCAAUUCCUGACGCUGAGGCGCGAAAGCGUGGGGAGCAAACGGG